UCGACCUGAGCUCAAGCAAGACCACCCGCUGAACUUAAGCAUAUCAAUAAGCGGAGGAAAAGAAACUAACAAGGAUUCCCUUAGUAAUGGCGAAAUGAAA
This 100-nucleotide ribosomal RNA is filed under the name Dunaliella sp. RNAcentral's name for it is "partial 28S ribosomal RNA". It matches the Rfam family "Eukaryotic large subunit ribosomal RNA", at positions 1 to 98 of the family's 3401-position model. Lineage: Eukaryota; Viridiplantae; Chlorophyta; Chlorophyceae; Chlamydomonadales; Dunaliellaceae. The record is from RNAcentral.